This 200-nucleotide unclassified non-coding RNA is filed under the name soil metagenome. Its description in RNAcentral is "partial contains internal transcribed spacer 2 and large subunit ribosomal RNA". The record is from RNAcentral.
UGUUCGAGCGUCAUUGCAACCCUCAAGCACUGCUUGGCAUUGGAUGCCACCAUUAUGGUGCAUCUCAAAAAUAUUAGCCGGUGGCAUUCAGCUUCUAGUGUAGUAAAUUUCUCGCUAUGGAGUCUGGGUGCUGACCUGCUAGAACCCCUAAUUUGUCAAAGGUUGACCUCGGAUCAGGUAGGGAUACCCGCUGAACUUAA